RNAcentral lists this ribosomal RNA (253 nucleotides) under uncultured bacterium. RNAcentral describes it as "partial 16S ribosomal RNA". It matches the Rfam family "Bacterial small subunit ribosomal RNA", at positions 524 to 776 of the family's 1533-position model. The record is from RNAcentral.
UACAGAGGUCUCAAGCGUUGUUCGGAUUCAUUGGGCGUAAAGGGUGUGUAGGUGGCGCGCUAAGUCGGGUGUGAAAUUUCGGAGCUUAACUCCGAAACUGCAUUCGAUACUGGCGUGCUUGAGGACUGGAGAGGAGACUGGAAUUUACGGUGUAGCAGUGAAAUGCGUAGAGAUCAUGAGGAAGACCAGUGGCGAAGGCGGUUCUCUGGGCCUUACCUGACGCUGAGGAGCGAAAGCGUGGGGAGCGAACAGG